Molecule: long non-coding RNA, 568 nt
Organism: Setaria italica (foxtail millet)
Lineage: Eukaryota; Viridiplantae; Streptophyta; Magnoliopsida; Poales; Poaceae
Exons: 2
Source: RefSeq, a predicted model, not a curated record
GCCGUCCCCAUCUUCCGCUCGUCUGUGCUUGCUCGCCGGGCACGCCGCCGCUACUCGCUGCGCGCAGGGCCGCCGCUGCCGACCGCCAACGCUGCACGCGGGGCCGUCGCCGCCGACCGCCAACGCUGCACGCGGGGCCGUCGCCGCCGCUCCUGCUCGCUGCGCGCUGGCGUGUGCCGCUGUCGCGCCUCUCACUGCAUGCCGCUACCGCCCCAGCGCUGCGCGCAGGGCUGCCACCACUCUUGCUCGCGCGCGCCCCAGCGUGUGCUGCUGCCGCCCUGACGCUGCAUCCGCGAGCCCAGCUUUGCGCAGUGCGCCGCCGCCGCACGCCGAUCCCUGUGCCCCUCUCACCGUCUUGGGACCUGAGGUAUCGGUAAAGCUUCAUGAGAAGAUAUUCAAGUGAUGCUUUAGAUCUACUUCGAGAACUUUGUAUUCGGUUGUAAUGAACAUAUGGAUGAUACCUCUAAUGUAAUUAUUAGUAUAUGGAUAUUUUUCCUUUUACAAUUUGGUUUCUAAACUUUGUAUUACAUUUAUGAACUUCAAAUAUCAGUUUGCAAGUUCCCACCCA